UAGAUGUAGCUUAAGAAGUCAAUGUCCAGAAGUUAUGUUGAUGUUCUGUAUUUAUUGGGUGCAGGAAUAUUGUAGGUUAUGUGGUGGAUCGGAUCCGAAAACUUGGACAAAAUGCCAUAGCCGCCGCCUCCAUCAUGACGGCUAGGGUUCUGAUGAGUUGAAUCUGGUGAAGCAUAUCCGCAAGUCAUAUGCCAUCUGUUUUCGCAUAGCCAUUGCUUCUGCAUUUGCUCUACAUAAUCCAUCUGUUAGGGAGGGACGAUACGGGAUCCCAAGAACAGGCCCUUGUUGUGCUGGUACAUGAUAUGGGUCCAAACUAGGAGCUUAUAAGUUAUGCCACUGUUGAUGUGUGUAUUUUAAGUCUACCUUGCUAAAUCGUGUGAGAUCGGGCUGCAAGACCAGGAACAAUGUGCUUCUUGCUGUUCCGGCACUUCUCUAUGCUAUCAAUAACUACUUGAAGUUCAUCAUGCAGCAACUGUAAAGAUGCUGAGCAAUCUAAAGUUUUGCUAAAGAUAAUAAUGAAACGUUGAUUUUCCAUUAUUCAGAUGAUGACAAGGAGUUCGACAAAGAAGCAUUAUGGCAGAGACUGAAGUACUAAGAAAGGAGAGCUCCUGGGAUAAAUGGCGCAAUUCUGUGGUGAGGGCCCAUAUGGAGCAAUGAAACAAAUACGGAACCUGGAUAACCUGGUCAAUCACAUCGGUCUGUACUCGGCAUUUCCGGCACAUCAGAUUGUGUGGGGUGGCUUAUUGCUCUGGCUUAGUGAUUUGCUGGUAACGGAAAUGGCACUUCUGACCAUAGAUUAAGGGAAGAGAGUUCUUAUUGUGUAAGCAGUAGGUAUUCAUUUUGAGUAUGGAUGUAAAUUGUGAAGUAAGUUAGCUACUUUAGUUCCAUUAUGUUUUAGGGGUUGGGAACAAGUAAUGCUAUUAAAGUGCAGAGUAUUGUGCUGAUCUUGAAAAGGGAGAUGAAUAAUUUUGUGGCAACCGGAGCUCGCUUUUAGCAAAAAGAAGAUUGGAGGCCAAAAAGAGGCAAUUGAACUUGGGGACAAAUUCGGUGAAGAUUUUAAAUUUGGAUCCAAAUUUUAAAAUGGGUCCGUAAAAAUGCGUCAAAAUUGGGUGAAGUACCCUUUGAAUGUAAUUUGUCAUAGCCCGUGUUGCAGAUAAAAAACUUUAUGGAUUUUGAUUGAUUAAGUUUGUAAUCCAGUUUAAUUGUUG
Long non-coding RNA from Helianthus annuus (common sunflower), 1208 nucleotides. RefSeq lists it as uncharacterized. Lineage: Eukaryota; Viridiplantae; Streptophyta; Magnoliopsida; Asterales; Asteraceae. The transcript has 9 exons. The record is from RefSeq and is a predicted model, not a curated record.